AGAAGCGAACCUGCGAAGGCAAGCGGAUCUCUUAAAGCCGUUCUCAGUUCGGACUGUAGGCUGCAACUCGCCUACACGAAGCUGGAAUCGCUAGUAAUCGCGGAUCAGCACGCCGCGGUGAAUACGUUCCCGGGCCUUGUACACACCGCCCGUCACACCAUGAGAGUCUGUAACACCCAAAGCCGGUGGGAUGACCUUUAUAGGAGUCAGCCGUCUAAGGUAGGACAGAUGAUUAGGGUGAAGUCGUAACAAGGUAAC
RNAcentral lists this ribosomal RNA (258 nucleotides) under uncultured bacterium. RNAcentral describes it as "partial 16S ribosomal RNA". It matches the Rfam family "Bacterial small subunit ribosomal RNA", at positions 1245 to 1500 of the family's 1533-position model. The record is from RNAcentral.